UGGGGUUCCCGCUCCGGUGAGGGUCUGAGGCUGGGCGGCUCUGACCAGGAGCAGCGCUUGGCCGUGGAGUGAGUGACGGGGAGCGGCUGUGGGUGCAGGUCUCCCAGAACGUGGAUCACUUUCAACGACAGAUUCUCGAAUGUCUUCGAAGUGUUUGCGCCGCUGUGAGGAGGGGGCUCUGUGGAUAGCGCGUGCUCUGGCACAGUCUUCAGAAAUUCAAAGAAAAGGAUGAACAUAAAAUAUCCCAUCUCAGGUAGAAGUGGAAGUGGAAGUCUCUAAAUCCCAAAAGAGCACCUCCAGCCAAGCAAGCAAGAGAAUAGUUUUUGCUCUUAUCCCACACAAUUCUGAUCCACCUGGGAGCCCAGUGGACAUCAGUCCACGAGUGGAUUCUUACAUUGAUUAUGACUCCAACCGGCUGUGACUUUAUUUUGAUACAGUUAUAUUAAAUAAACAUAUUUUUAUACUCUAA
This is a non-coding RNA of Microcebus murinus (gray mouse lemur), 469 nucleotides long. The record is from RefSeq and is a predicted model, not a curated record. NCBI's taxonomy places the organism in Eukaryota, Metazoa, Chordata, Mammalia, Primates, Cheirogaleidae.